Molecule: ribosomal RNA, 771 nt
Filed under: uncultured archaeon
Lineage: Archaea
Description: bacterial SSU rRNA
Rfam family: Archaeal small subunit ribosomal RNA
Source: RNAcentral
AGUGAACCUACCUUGUAGAGGCGCAUAACCCCGCGAAAGUGGGGGUAAAACGCCAUAAGCCAAGAAAUCUGGAAUGAUUCUUGACUGAAACAAACCGCGAAUUGGAGCGAGUUUGCUGCAAGAUGGCACUGCGGCUGAUCAGGCUGUUGGUGAGGUAACGGCCCACCAAACCGAUAAUCAGUAGGGGCUAUGGGAGUAGGAGCCCCGAGACGGGCACUGAGACAAGGGCCCGAGCCCUACGGGGUGCAGCAGGCGCGAAACUUCCGCAAUGCGCGAAAGCGUGACGGGGGUAAUCCGAGUGCCAUCCGAAAGGGUGGCUUUUAGCCGGCUUGAAUAGCCGGUUGAAUAAGUUCUGGGUAAAUCCUGUGCCAGCCGCCGCGGUAACACAGGUAGAACUAGUAGUACCCACGAAUAUUGAGCUUAAAGCGUCCGUASCCGGCUUGGCAAGUUUCCUGUGAAAUCCACCCGCCUAACGGGUGGGCGUGCAGGGAAUACUACCGAGCUCGAGAGUGGGGGAGGUCAAGGGUACGCUAGGGGGAGGAGUAAAAUCCUGUAAUCCUUAGCGGACCAUCGGUGGCGAAAGCGCUUGACCAAAACACGUCUGACGGUGAGGGACGAAGGCCGGGGGAGCGAAUCGGAUUAGAUACCCGAGUAGUCCCGUGCAGUAAAUGAUGCAGACUUGGCGUUGCAGCGACUUCGGGUUGCUGCAGUGCCGUAGGGAAACCGUUUAGUCUGCCGCUUGGGGAGUACGGUCGCAAGACUUAAACUUAA